Molecule: long non-coding RNA, 847 nt
Filed under: Rattus norvegicus (Norway rat)
Lineage: Eukaryota; Metazoa; Chordata; Mammalia; Rodentia; Muridae
Description: long non-coding RNA NONRATT021146
Source: RNAcentral
AAAAGAGUUGAGAAUUACUUAAGGCUAUCUAGGUGCUGCAAGGGCAGCACAAGGACAUCUGCCAUUGCCCUGCAAUGCAAGGCUUAUAGAGAAUUCAGAACUGCCAUUGACUCAGAUAUAAAAAGAGUGAAAGACUUUUUAGCUGACCUCCAAGAAUACCUAACCUCCCUCUCAGAGGUAGUCCUUCAGAAUAGGAGAAGAUUAGACCUGAUAUUCCUUAAAGAAGGAACCUGUGUGCUACACUGAAAGAAUGUUGCUUCUAUGCAGACCAUUCAGGAGUAAUUAAAGACUCCAUGAAUAAACUUAGAGAAAGGUUAGACAAAAGACAGAGAAGCGUAUCAGGGAUGGUUCGAGAGCUGGUUUAGUAGAUCUCCUUGGAUGACUACCCUGACAUCUUCCCUUAUCCUUCUUAAUUUUGCUUCUGCUUCUGAUUAUAGGUCCAUGUGUGUUAGAGAAACUAGUUAAUAGGUUUGACUCCUACAAAAAGAUAGAGACGCUCAACAAGGUUAGUUUGAGUCUUGGUUCACUCGGUCUCCCUGGAUGACUACCCUACUCUCUGCUAUAUGGCUGGGCCAUUACUAAUAAUUUUCUUGGUUUUAGUUUUUGGACCCUACGUGACAAACAGGUUAAUUGCUUUUGUUAAAAAUCGAGUGGGUGCUGUGUGGUUGAUGGUUCUGAGACAACAGUACCAGUCAGUUAGGACAACUGGUGAGACCAAAUACGAGACUAGAUAUCAAAAUUCUAAGAUUAGAAUUAUUUAGUAGAAGGAGAAGGGAAUGAAAGGAGAAUUAUACGAAUUCUAGGUUUGGAGAUACAAAAUUAAAAGAAUAAACCCCAAAAGGCCACA